AUUGAACGCUGGCGGCAUGCCUUACACAUGCAAGUCGAGCGCGAAAGGGGGCAACCCCGAGUAGAGCGGCGGACGGGUGAGUAACACAUCGGAACGUGCCCAGUAGUGGGGGACAACCUCGAGAAAUCGAGGCUAAUACCGCAUACGACCCACGGGUGAAAGCGGGGGACCGCAAGGCCUCGCGCUAUUGGAGCGGCCGAUGUCCGAUUAGCUAGUCGGUGAGGUAACGGCUCACCAAGGCGACGAUCCGUAGCUGGUCUGAGAGGACGGCCAGCCACACUGGGACUGAGACACGGCCCAGACUCCUACGGGAGGCAGCAGUGGGGAAUAUUGGACAAGUGGGGGUAACCCUGAUCCAGCGACGCCGCGUGUGUGAAGAAGGCCUGCGGGUU
RNAcentral lists this ribosomal RNA (392 nucleotides) under uncultured bacterium. RNAcentral describes it as "bacterial SSU rRNA". It matches the Rfam family "Bacterial small subunit ribosomal RNA", at positions 29 to 424 of the family's 1533-position model. The record is from RNAcentral.